UAACCUGCCCAAGAGAUCGGGAUAACACCUGGAAACAGAUGCUAAUACCGGAUAACAACAGAUGAUGCCUAUCAACUGUUUAAAAGAUGGUUCUGCUAUCACUCUUGGAUGGACCUGCGGUGCAUUAGCUAGUUGGUAGGGUAACGGCCUACCAAGGCUAUGAUGCAUAGCCGAUUUGAGAGACUGAUCGGCCACAUUGGGACUGAGACACGGCCCAAACUCCUACGGGAGGCAGCAGCC
RNAcentral lists this ribosomal RNA (240 nucleotides) under uncultured Lactobacillus sp. Its description in RNAcentral is "partial 16S ribosomal RNA". It matches the Rfam family "Bacterial small subunit ribosomal RNA", at positions 122 to 355 of the family's 1533-position model. The record is from RNAcentral. Lineage: Bacteria; Bacillati; Bacillota; Bacilli; Lactobacillales; Lactobacillaceae.